GAGUUUGUAUUUUGUGGGAUGACAGUUUGGUAAGAAAGUGCAACCUCUCAACAAAAAGUGUAGUGUUCUUUAGAAGAAAGUGGAGGAGGCUGAAAAGGAAAAGUUGAAAUACAAGGAGUUAGCCAAGGGUGUUGAAGUUUAUGCUAAUAAGGAAGCUACCAUGCCGGCUAAUAUUAGGAAGACUUUCAAAGAUUGGAACAUGGUAAAAUGAAUCAUGAGGCCCCUGCUAUGAAGGCUGAUCUUGAAAUCUCUUGACUUAGUAAGGAAGUUUAGUUGACAAAGCCACAUCCGACUUUUGAUGUUGUUUGUCCUGCUCCAUUCAUGAAUCAAAUUUAAUUAAAUGAGUUAAUUAAAUAUUGGACCGGGUCAGACCAAACCUGUUUGAGCUUAUAUAAAUACGUGAGUAGGAUUUUCAAUUUGUAGAUAUUCUCAGAGAAAACCUUGGUUGUUACAAUCUGUUCUCUGUAUGAAAUUUCAUUGGAGGUUGGACAAUUGGACAUCUGUACGUGAUAGAUUAAGGUUGUUGGAAUGAAGAAAAACAAAGGAGUUUGCAAAUCUAGAAAAAUGUAUUACUUUUAU
Molecule: long non-coding RNA, 579 nt
Filed under: Olea europaea (common olive)
Lineage: Eukaryota; Viridiplantae; Streptophyta; Magnoliopsida; Lamiales; Oleaceae
Description: long non-coding RNA (OEUR_LNC004276)
Source: RNAcentral